AGGUUAAGUUAAUAAGGGCGCACGGUGGAUGCCUUGGCACUAGAAGCCGAUGAAGGACGUGACUAACGACGAAAUGCUUUGGGGAGCUGUAAGUGAGCAAUGAUCCAGAGAUGUCCGAAUGGGGGAACCCGGCAGGUAAUGCCUGUCACUCAUUACUGUUAAGGUAAUGUAGAGGAAGACGCAGUGAACUGAAACAUCUAAGUAGCUGUAGGAAGAGAAAGCAAAAGCGAUUGCCUUAGUAGCGGCGAGCGAAACGGCAAGAGGGCAAACCGAAGAGUUUACUCUUCGGGGUUGUAGGACUGCAACGUGGACUUAAAGAUUAUAGAAGAACUACCUGGGAAGGUAGGCCAAAGAGAGUAAUAGCCUCGUAUUCGAAAUAGUCUUUAUACCUAGCAGUAUCCUGAGUACGGCGAGACACGAGAAAUCUCGUCGGAAUCUGGGAGGACCAUCUCCCAACCCUAAAUACUCUCUAGUGACCGAUAGUGAACCAGUACCGUGAGGGAAAGGUGAAAAGCACCCCGGGAGGGGAGUGAAAUAGAACCUGAAACCGUGUGCCUACAACAAGUUCGAGCCCGUUAAUGGGUGAGAGCGUGCCUUUUGUAGAAUGAACCGGCGAGUUACGAUAUGAUGCGAGGUUAAGUUGAAGAGACGGAGCCGUAGGGAAACCGAGUCUUAAUAGGGCGGAUUAGUAUCAUGUCGUAGACCAAACCCGAUGUGACCUACCCAUGAGCAGGUUGAAGGUGAGGUAAAACUCCCUGGAGGACCGAACCAGGGCACGUUGAAAAGUGCUUGGAUGACUUGUGGGUAGCGGAGAAAUUCCAAACGAACUUGGAGAUAGCUGGUUCUCUCCGAAAUAGCUUUAGGGCUAGCGUCGAUGUUAAGUCUCUUGGAGGUAGAGCACUGUUUGGGUGAGGGGUCCAUCCCGGAUUACAAUCUCAGAUAAACUCCGAAUGCCAAUGAGAUAUAAUCGGCAGUCAGACUGCGAGUGCUAAGAUCCGUAGUCGAAAGGGAAACAGCCCAGACCACCAGCUAAGGUCCCAAAAUAUAUGUUAAGUGGAAAAGGAUGUGGGGUUGCACAGACAACUAGGAUGUUAGCUUAGAAGCAGCUAUUCAUUCAAAGAGUGCGUAAUAGCUCACUAGUCGAGUGACCCUGCGCCGAAAAUGUACCGGGGCUAAAACAUAUUACCGAAGCUGUGGAUACCUUUAUAGGUAUGGUAGGAGAGCGUUCUAUGUGCGAAGAAGGUGUACCGUGAGGAGUGCUGGAGCGCAUAGAAGUGAGAAUGCCGGUAUGAGUAGCGAAAGACAGGUGAGAAUCCUGUCCACCGUAAGACUAAGGUUUCCAGGGGAAGGCUCGUCCGCCCUGGGUUAGUCGGGACCUAAGGAGAGACCGAAAGGUGUAUCCGAUGGACAACAGGUUGAUAUUCCUGUACUAGAGUAUAUAGUGAUGGAGGGACGCAGUAGGCUAACUAAACCAGACGAUUGGAAGUGUCUGGCCAAGCAGUGAGGUGUGAUAUGAGUCAAAUGCUUAUAUCUUUAACAUUGAGCUGUGAUGGGGAGCGAAGUUUAGUAGCGAAGUUAGUGAUGUCACACUGCCGAGAAAAGCUUCUAGCGUUAAUUAUACUCUACCCGUACCGCAAACCGACACAGGUAGUCGAGGCGAGUAGCCUCAGGUGAGCGAGAGAACUCUCGUUAAGGAACUCGGCAAAAUGGCCCCGUAACUUCGGGAGAAGGGGCGCUGACUGAUGGUCAGCCGCAGUGAAUAGGCCCAAGCAACUGUUUAUCAAAAACACAGCUCUCUGCUAAAUCGUAAGAUGAUGUAUAGGGGGUGACGCCUGCCCGGUGCUGGAAGGUUAAGAGGAGUGCUUAGCGUAAGCGAAGGCAUGAAUUGAAGCCCCAGUAAACGGCGGCCGUAACUAUAACGGUCCUAAGGUAGCGAAAUUCCUUGUCGGGUAAGUUCCGACCCGCACGAAAGGCGUAAUGAUUUGGGCACUGUCUCAACGAGAGACUCGGUGAAAUUUUAGUACCUGUGAAGAUGCAGGUUACCCGCGACAGGACGGAAAGACCCCAUGGAGCUUUACUGCAGUUUGAUAUUGAGUAUCUGUACCACAUGUACAGGAUAGGUAGGAGCCUAUGACCUCGGGACGCCAGUUUCGAGUGAGGCGUUGUUGGGAUACUACCCUUGUGUUAUGGCUACUCUAACCCAGAUAGGUUAUCCCUAUCGGAGACAGUGUCUGACGGGCAGUUUGACUGGGGCGGUCGCCUCCUAAAAGGUAACGGAGGCGCCCAAAGGUUCCCUCAGAAUGGUUGGAAAUCAUUCGCAGAGUGUAAAGGUAUAAGGGAGCUUGACUGCGAGAGCUACAACUCGAGCAGGGACGAAAGUCGGGCUUAGUGAUCCGGUGGUUCCGUAUGGAAGGGCCAUCGCUCAACGGAUAAAAGCUACCCUGGGGAUAACAGGCUUAUCUCCCCCAAGAGUUCACAUCGACGGGGAGGUUUGGCACCUCGAUGUCGGCUCGUCGCAUCCUGGGGCUGUAGUCGGUCCCAAGGGUUGGGCUGUUCGCCCAUUAAAGCGGCACGCGAGCUGGGUUCAGAACGUCGUGAGACAGUUCGGUCCCUAUCCGUCGCGGGCGUAGGAAAUUUGAGAGGAUCUGCUCCUAGUACGAGAGGACCAGAGUGGACUUACCGCUGGUGUACCAGUUGUUCUGCCAAGAGCAUCGCUGGGUAGCUAUGUAGGGAAGGGAUAAACGCUGAAAGCAUCUAAGUGUGAAGCCCACCUCAAGAUGAGAUUUCCCAUGAUUUUAUAUCAGUAAGAGCCCUGAGAGAUGAUCAGGUUGAUAGGUUAGAAGUGGAAGUGUGGUGACACAUGUAGCGGACUAAUACUAAUAGCUCGAGGACUUAUCCAA
RNAcentral lists this ribosomal RNA (2900 nucleotides) under Streptococcus thermophilus ND03. RNAcentral's name for it is "bacterial LSU rRNA". It matches the Rfam family "Bacterial large subunit ribosomal RNA". Lineage: Bacteria; Bacillati; Bacillota; Bacilli; Lactobacillales; Streptococcaceae. The record is from RNAcentral.